Molecule: ribosomal RNA, 253 nt
Filed under: uncultured bacterium
Lineage: Bacteria
Description: partial 16S ribosomal RNA
Rfam family: Bacterial small subunit ribosomal RNA
Source: RNAcentral
UACGUAGGCAGCGAGCGUUGUUCGGAGUUACUGGGCGUAAAGGGUGUGUAGGCGGUCGUUUAAGUUUGGUGUGGAAUCUCCCGGCUCAACUGGGAGGGUGCGCCGAAUACUGAGCGGCUAGAGUGCGGGAGAGGAAAGUGGAAUUCCUGGUGUAGCGGUGAAAUGCGUAGAUAUCAGGAGGAACACCGGUGGUGUAGACGGCUUUCUGGACCGUAACUGACGCUGAGACACGAAAGCGUGGGUAGCAAACAGG